This 434-nucleotide ribosomal RNA is filed under the name uncultured bacterium. RNAcentral describes it as "bacterial SSU rRNA". It matches the Rfam family "Bacterial small subunit ribosomal RNA", at positions 355 to 786 of the family's 1533-position model. The record is from RNAcentral.
UGGGGAAUCUUGCGCAAUGGGCGAAAAGCCUGACGCAGCGACGCCGCGUGGGGGAUGACGGGUUUCGGCUUGUAAACCCCUGUUGCCCGGGACGAACUUCUCCUUUCGAGGAGAUUGACGGUACCGGGUGAGGAAGCACCGGCUAACUCUGUGCCAGCAGCCGCGGUAAUACAGAGGGUGCGAGCGUUGUCCGGAAUCACUGGGCGUAAAGGGCGCGUAGGUGGCGCGACAAGUCGGUGGUGAAAGUUCGACGCUCAACGUCGAAUCGGCCACCGAUACUGUCGGGCUCGAGCACUGUAGAGGCUAAUGGAAUUCCGGGUGUAGCGGUGGAAUGCGUAGAGAUCCGGAAGAACACCGGUGGCGAAGGCGGUUAGCUGGGCAGUUGCUGACACUGAGGCGCGACAGCGUGGGGGGAGCAAACAGGAUUAGAUACC